GUCUGCUUGAUAAAAAAAACAGUCUGGCCUGCCCACUGAGUGUUUUAAAGGCCGCGGUAUAAUGACCGUGCAAAGGUAGCAUAAUAAUUAGUCUUUUAAUUGAAGACUGGAAUGAAGGGUCGGACAAAAAGUAACCUGUCUCCUUUUUAAAAAUUGAACUUAACUUUUAAGUGAAAAGGCUUAAAUACUCUUAAAGGACGACAAGACCCUAUAAAACUUUAUAAAAACAGGAUUAAACUUUUAAUUUAUUUUUUUAACAAAGAUUAGUACUGCUUUUAUUUCGUUGGGGCGACGAAAGUAUAACUUUUUAACUGCUUUUUAUUUUUUAACAAAAAUAUUUGUUUUUCUGACCCUUUUUUAAGAUCUAAAGAAAAAGUUACUUUAGGGAUAACAGCGUUAUUUUCUUUGAGAGUCCAUAUCGACAAGAAAGCUUGCGACCUCGAUGUUGAAUUAAGAUGCCACUAUGGUGCAGCAAUUAUAAAGGUAGGUCUGUUCGACCUUUAAAAUCUUACAUGAUUUGAGUUCAAACCGGUGUAAG
RNAcentral lists this ribosomal RNA (538 nucleotides) under Trypaea australiensis. RNAcentral describes it as "partial large subunit ribosomal RNA". It matches the Rfam family "Bacterial large subunit ribosomal RNA", at positions 1819 to 2625 of the family's 2925-position model. The record is from RNAcentral. Lineage: Eukaryota; Metazoa; Arthropoda; Malacostraca; Decapoda; Callianassidae.